This 429-nucleotide ribosomal RNA is filed under the name uncultured bacterium. Its description in RNAcentral is "bacterial SSU rRNA". It matches the Rfam family "Bacterial small subunit ribosomal RNA", at positions 355 to 776 of the family's 1533-position model. The record is from RNAcentral.
UGGGGAAUUUUGGACAAUGGGGGCAACCCUGAUCCAGCCAUGCCGCGUGCAGGAUGAAGGCCUUCGGGUUGUAAACUGCUUUUGUCAGGGACGAAAAGGUCUCCGCUAAUACCGGAGACUGCUGACGGUACCUGAAGAAUAAGCACCGGCUAACUACGUGCCAGCAGCCGCGGUAAUACGUAGGGUGCAAGCGUUAAUCGGAAUUACUGGGCGUAAAGCGUGCGCAGGCGGUUUCGUAAGACAGAUGUGAAAUCCCCGGGCUUAACCUGGGAAUUGCAUUUGUGACUGCGGGACUAGAGUUUGGCAGAGGGAGGUGGAAUUCCAAGUGUAGCAGUGAAAUGCGUAGAUAUUUGGAAGAACACCGAUGGCGAAGGCAGCCUCCUGGGCCAAGACUGACGCUCAUGCACGAAAGCGUGGGGAGCAAACAGG